This 499-nucleotide ribosomal RNA is filed under the name uncultured bacterium. RNAcentral describes it as "partial 16S ribosomal RNA". It matches the Rfam family "Bacterial small subunit ribosomal RNA", at positions 899 to 1397 of the family's 1533-position model. The record is from RNAcentral.
ACUCAAAUGAAUUGACGGGGGUCCGCACAAGCGGUGGAACAUGUGGUUUAAUUCGACACUACGCGAGGAACCUUACCUGGGCUUGACAUGUAACUGCAACCGGCAGAAACGUCGGGUUCUUGGGAAACCAAGACGGUUACACAGGUGCUGCAUGGCUGUCGUCAGCUCGUGUCGUGAGAUGUUGGGUUAAGUCCUUUAACGAGCGCAACCCCUGCUGUUAGUUGCAAGUCGAAAGACGCACUCUAACAGGACUGCCUGGGAAACCAGGAGGAAGGUGGGGAUGACGUCAAGUCCUCAUGGCCCUUAUGUCCAGGGCUACACACGUGUUACAAUGGCGAGUACAAAGGGAAGCAAGCCUGCGAGGGUAAGCAAACCCCAAAAAACUCGUCUAAGUUCAGAUUGAAGUCUGCAACCCGACUUCAUGAAGUUGAAAUCGCUAGUAAUCGCGCAUCAGAACGGCGCGGUGAAUACGUUCUCGGACCUUGCACACACCGCCCGU